AUGCUGGGCGCGCGGGCCUGGUUGGGCCGCGUCCUUCUGCUGCCCCGCGCCGGUGCAGGCCUCGCCGCGAGCCGCAGGGGUAGCUCCUCCCGGGACAAGGACCGAAGUGCGACGGUCAGUAGUUCAGUGCCCAUGCCUGCUGGAGGGAAGGGAAGCCAUCCUUCAUCUGCACCCCAGAGGGUCCCCAACCGCCUGAUCCACGAGAAGUCACCAUACCUCCUACAACAUGCCUACAAUCCUGUGGACUGGUGAGCACCUCUCCUGGGGCCCUGCCUGGAAUCGCUGGGGUCCUGGGCCCCUUCCAGACCCCCUGGGCUACUGAGUGAUGCACCACCCUGCUGGGUCUAGGUACCCCUGGGGACAGGAAGCCUUCGACAAGGCCAGGAAAGAAAACAAGCCGAUUUUCCUCUCAGGUAAUGCUCCCACCUUCCCUGAUAUGGGGGUGUGGGCAGGGAGUGGCAGUGGAUGGGGGAGGGUCCUCUCGGCCUGGCGGGUCUU
RNAcentral lists this small RNA (498 nucleotides) under Pongo abelii (Sumatran orangutan). RNAcentral describes it as "retained intron". Lineage: Eukaryota; Metazoa; Chordata; Mammalia; Primates; Hominidae. The record is from RNAcentral.